Molecule: ribosomal RNA, 492 nt
Filed under: uncultured bacterium
Lineage: Bacteria
Description: partial 16S ribosomal RNA
Rfam family: Bacterial small subunit ribosomal RNA
Source: RNAcentral
AGUGAACGCUGGCGGUAGGCCUAACACAUGCAAGUCGAACGGCAGCACAGUAAGAGCUUGCUCUUACGGGUGGCGAGUGGCGGACGGGUGAGGAAUACAUCGGAAUCUACUUUUUCGUGGGGGAUAACGUAGGGAAACUUACGCUAAUACCGCAUACGACCUACGGGUGAAAGCAGGGGAUCUUCGGACCUUGCGCGAUUGAAUGAGCCGAUGUCGGAUUAGCUAGUUGGCGGGGUAAAGGCCCACCAAGGCGACGAUCCGUAGCUGGUCUGAGAGGAUGAUCAGCCACACUGGAACUGAGACACGGUCCAGACUCCUACGGGAGGCAGCAGGGGGGAAUAUUGGACAAUGGGCGAAAGCCUGAUCCAGCCAUACCGCGUGGGUGAAGAAGGCCUUCGGGUCGUAAAGCCCUUUUGUUGGGAAAGAAAAGAAGGAGGUUAAUACCCCGCUGUUCUGACGGUACCCAAAGAAUAAGCACCGGCUAACUACGUG